GCGAGGGUGGCGGAACUGGCAGACGCGCCAGGUUUAGGUCCUGGUCCCGAAAGGGGUGCAGGUUCGAGUCCUGUCCCUCGCA
Molecule: transfer RNA, 82 nt
Filed under: Phycisphaerae bacterium
Lineage: Bacteria; Pseudomonadati; Planctomycetota; Phycisphaerae
Description: tRNA-Leu
Rfam family: tRNA
About the family: Transfer RNA (tRNA) molecules are approximately 80 nucleotides in length.
Source: RNAcentral